GAUCAUGGCUCAGGAUGAACGCUAGCUACAGGCUUAACACAUGCAAGUCGAGGGGCAGCAUGAAGUUUGCUUGCAAACUUGAUGGCGACCGGCGCACGGGUGAGUAACGCGUAUCCAACCUUCCCCUUACUAGGGAAUAGCCCGGCGAAAGUCGGAUUAAUGCCCUAUGUUCUCCUUUGCGGGCAUCUAACGAGGAGCAAAGAUUCAUCGGUAAGGGAUGGGGAUGCGUCUGAUUAGCCAGUUGGCGGGUAACGCCACCAAGGCGACGAUCAGUAGGGGUUCUGAGAGGAAGGUCCCCCACAUUGGUACUGAGACACGGACCAAACUCCUACGGGAGGCAGCAGUGAGGAAUAUUGGUCAAUGGACGCGAGUCUGAACCAGCCAAGUAGCGUGCAAGGAUGACUGCCCUAUGGGUUGUAAACUGCUUUUAUGCGGGAAUAAAGUCAGGUACGCGUACCUGUUUGUAUGUACCGCAUGAAUAAGGACCGGCUAAUUCCGUGCCAGCCGCCGC
RNAcentral lists this ribosomal RNA (511 nucleotides) under uncultured bacterium. RNAcentral's name for it is "bacterial SSU rRNA". It matches the Rfam family "Bacterial small subunit ribosomal RNA", at positions 15 to 518 of the family's 1533-position model. The record is from RNAcentral.